CCCCCCGUGUCUCCUGCCCACGGGGCCUGAUUCCCUCCUCCCUAUGCGCCCUCAUCCCAUCUGGCAGGGUUUCUGAUGCGUGAGAUUCUCAAGCACGGCAUGGGUCUCCUGUGUACGCCAUGGGGAUUUGCUCCACAAGACGAGAGGUGCCUCCAGAUCCUUCCAAAAAAAUCUUCUCUUCUGUUUUGGCUUUUGCCGAGAGGAAGGAGGCGUCUGUCAGUCAUGCAUACAAUCUCCUCCGAGUGCCCUCCGCAGGACUGAACGCUCUGACCUUACUCAUCUUGCCCAGAGCUCUGCCUUCCGUCUGACUCUCCUCCCCCGUGUCGCCACGAGCAGCAGAGCAGCAGGAAACGACGCUGCGCAGCUACACUUUGCUUGGAAACCUUCUUGGCUAAACAUCCACGCGGACUGCUCCCAAGUCCUGCUUUCCUACAACCGAGGGGCAGAACUCGGCAGAGCUUUCCACGAGGUAAUGCUGCACAUCCAGCCUCCGUUCCCGCUGACAUGGGCCUCGCUGUUCUGGGCCCUCACCGGCAGCGCCCCACAUCCCUGCUUCUGCCGACAGACGCUCGCGCUGGCUCCGGGCAGUCCUCAAGGUGAACUCACCAGGAUUCCUCCGUGGCGCCCCUCAUUUACUCCUGGGUCUUUGGUAGGGGACACAUCAAUGUCCGGGCCCCCUCCUACCAAUCGUCUUGCUUCAGAAAACCGAGGCUUUUUCUACUGUGCCCCUCAAAAUCCUUCCAGCCUCUGCCACUGCCACGCCCCAAGGCCACUUCUAAAUUUGAUGUGUUUGCUGCAGUAGCACCCCACCCCGGGACCGAAAUCUGCAUUUAUUUCCUGUCCCCGCUGUGGCUGCUUACCACACACCUAGUGACUUACGUCGCAGCUCUGGAAGACAGAGGUCCAAGAUGGUCCCUACUGGACGACAAUCCGAUGUCAGCACAGCUGCUUCUUUCUGAGGCUCAAGGGGGAGAAAACGUUUUCUUCCUCUUCCAGCUUCUUGAGGUGCUGCACUCUGACUCAGGGCCCUUUCUCUCCCCUUCAUCGAGCCUCUCCCUCCACGGAUACGGAGUCCUGUGUGGUUUCUCGCUUUCCGGGACAGAGCUAACAACGGGGUGUGGGCGGGUAAGCGAACGGCCUGUCGGGGCAGAGUGGGGACUCCACUCCCGGUGCGCCCACCGAAAGCUGAGUCCUCAGCACGGAGCCCAGCUGCCCCGGGAGCGCCGCACGCAGCCACUUGCCGUGCGGGCCAAGGAACCAAUGCAGAGGCGAGAAGGCUUCCCCGAGGCUUAAGCGGGCCAGGAUGUUCUGGCUCUUGCAGCAAAGAGCCAGCCAGCUGGAGGAGAGCACAGGGCACUGCCCUCACCCUCAGGAGGCGUGCAGACUGCUCCUCAUCCUGGCUGCCUGUCCCUUCCUGGGUAGACUUUCUGAGGCCCUGUGCCAGUGCUGUGCCCACAGAUCCCACAGCUCUUUCCUGAGUCAGAGCUACACGGACCAUGUGUGUCCUGGACAGCUUUCUGCAGAUGCAGGUGUCACACACGUACACUCACACGCAGAGACCAUGACUCCCACCGUGUACGGGGUGUUGGGGGAAGGAACAGAACAGCCGUCAACAGCCAGAGAAGGCAGUCCCCAGGCCAGAUGUCAGGGCACGGCGCCCUCUACUCUCUCCUCUGCCCACACAGUACCUAGACUGACUCCAGGGUUCAGGCACCCCCUCCCCUUCUGCUCCCCAAGUCCGGCCUUGCCCCUGCAUUCAUCCCACUCCGGAGCACUCCCCUAAGCUCACCCCUUGGACCACACUGCCAGGCCAGCGCUAGCCCUUGCAGCAGAGCCCCCGGGGCCAGGCUGGCCAGGAAGCCGCCCCCCCCCCCCCAACUCCAGAGAACACUCUGGGGUCCCUGCCACCUGCACGGGAAGGCACAGCACGAGAGAUCAAGCCCCUGCCCCGCCCCCAGAGACUCGGGAGACAAGGCAUGACCCCCACACCCCCAGCUUCCCGAGGUCCUGCAAGCCCAGGCUGUGGACACAGGUCAGCAGGGGAGCCUGUGGUUGGCCCUGGCAGGAAGAGCCCAGCCUGGGGUGCGCAGAGACCACACGAGGGGGCGGGAGGCAGGCCACCUUCAGUCUGGCACCAGCCCUGGCACUCUCAGCAAGGGUCAUCGAGACGCCGAGGAUACACACAGGCGCUGACCUGAGAGAAUUCUUUUUAUUACGACCGACCGAACAGGUGAGCGGAGCAGGGACACCCAGCCUUCCGCCAACAGCCGCUUCUCCACACAGGCCGUCCGUCCGCCCAGGCACCUCGGUCCUAGGCCCAGCUAGUCCAGGGGCCCUCGUGGGCAGCAGGGGCAGGAGAGGGGGACAUGACCACAGGGUCAGGGCCCCUGUGGGGCACCCCCAGCCACGCCCACCCUACUCCACCUGCUCUGAGCCGCCAACAGCCAAGAUCCAAGCAAGGCCAGGAGAGGGAGGUCUGAGGGGGGGAUGGGGCGGAAUCUCUAGAAUAACCCCACCCUGAUGACAAACCAAAGCGAGCCAGAGUCCCUCCUGGGAAGGAGCCCCAGCUCUCACUGGUGUGUUUCUC
Molecule: long non-coding RNA, 2587 nt
Organism: Neofelis nebulosa (Clouded leopard)
Lineage: Eukaryota; Metazoa; Chordata; Mammalia; Carnivora; Felidae
Exons: 2
Source: RefSeq, a predicted model, not a curated record